RNAcentral lists this small nucleolar RNA (118 nucleotides) under Capra hircus (goat). Its description in RNAcentral is "Small nucleolar RNA SNORA20 (ENSCHIG00000001378.1)". Lineage: Eukaryota; Metazoa; Chordata; Mammalia; Artiodactyla; Bovidae. The record is from RNAcentral.
CUUCCCAUUGAUUUGUGUGACAGUUUCUCCAUGAUAUGAGCAGUUAUAUGCAUGGGGUAAAACAAUGUGCAUUGAGAUGGAGUAACCAUUUCAUCUCUUUUGCAUGCUCUAGAUAUUG